AAGAGGCAGCAGGCUUCGUGAGCUGGGGAAGUGCCAGAAGCAGCCUUCGAAUUAGACAGACCUGGACCCAAACCCUUUCUCUUCCCCCCACCCAUUUUGGCAUCUUGGCACGAGACUGUCCCCAUUUCUGGAAAGGGUGUUCACAAGAACAGUCUGGCUGGGUUGUUGGGAUGACCGAGUGUGAUCAUGCGUCUCUAUGGCUGGCCAUGGUGUUUAUUCGAUGGCAGGUAUUACCAGGAUGGAGCGAGUCCCAGUAGGAAGGGCCUUUAGGAUGUCAUCUGGUUCCACCCAACAGGGAUGGGAACUGUAAUUCCCCACUCUCCCUGUGGAGAAUCAGGGCGGGCUCCGGAUGGAUGGCCAAAGGCUGCACAGAGGCGCUCCUGUGAAGAGGAAGCCUCAGGAGGGAGUGAGAGCAGAAGGGAGCCCACCUGUGGUUGUCUCAGCAACAGCAGAAGAACCUGGGCCGCUGGGAGUGGAGUUGGAGAGAAACAGGUUGAUUUGGAAGUUCUUCUGCAGGUAGAACGGAAAGGCGAAUUCUGCAAGAUGCUCUGGGGUCCACUGAGCUCAGCUGCUGAGGCUCAGCUCUUUCUGUGGCUUCUUCUUGAGCAGCCUGUUGACCAAGAUGUGGCCCAUGCCACUCCCUAUAUUCGGAGUCCAUUUUCUGAUGCCCUCUCUCAGCUCUUCGCCUGCACUCAUCUGUGACUGCCUGGUACUGCUAGGAAGCCUCUGUUUGUGUCUCAUCUCUCCAGGUGGACUGGAGCUCCUGGGGGUCCUUUCCUUUGUGGGGGUUCUCAAUAUCAGAAUGGAGUCGCUUAUGUCAAACCCUAACAAAAUGGAGGUGGAGGUCACGAAUUGGAGCCUAUAUGCGUGCCUGUAACAGGACUUGUCACAAGGAAUCCCUGCACAUAUGUGUAUGAUGGGGACUAUGCCAGGAACUCCUCACAUAUGGAGGAUUCGAGGUAAGCCAUUUGCUCAAGGACACUUACCCAGCAAUGGCAGCCUCCACUAAUGAGACAUCGCGAACUCCUGUAAUCAAUGGUCUUUGUUUCUAAACAGCUUAUGUGGAAUUCUCCGUUUUUUUGUCUGUAAAAGUUUUCUUUAGCCCCAGUCUCUUUGGAUAUGCCUAUGAUUCAUCAUAGCACAUGUUUCCCAGGUUGCAAUCCCCUGCAAUUCCCAAAUAAGCUCCUUUUGUGGAGAUCCUGUCUCUCUCUGUCAUUAUUUAGGUUGACACCUUUUAUGUCCUGCAUUGCUGUUGAUGACACCCACAUUUGUACCUCCUGCUUGAAUGUCCCCUCCCCCAACUCCAAAAUUCCUCUCUCUGUCUACCCUGUACCUCUAUUUGAACCACUAAGAGGCAUCUCAGACUUAAAGUGUCCCAAACUGAGCCCCUGUGAUGCCCCCAGAGCUGCUCCUCCCCACCACCUCCUCCUCAGCAAUGGCAGCUUGAUUCUUCUUUGGGCUUUAUUCAGUCCCCCAACUUUGGAGCUUUCUUGACCCCUCUCUAUUGCUCACAUGCCAUAUUCAAUGUGUAGGCAAAUCCUUUGGCCCUGCCUUCCAAAGACAUGCAGAAUCUACUCACUUCUCGCCACCUCGCUGUCUCACUCUGCGUCAGGCCACCCUGUGUGUCCUUGCACAAUUGCGGGAGCCUUGGCUCGAGUCCUCCAGACCUUCUACCUCUUUGACUUCAUCUAGUGCUGCUCCAAGCCCCGUGCUCUUCCUUGGACACACCAGGCAUGCUGCCAGCAGAGCCUUUGCAUGUGCUGUUCCCUUUGUCGGGAAGCCUUUUCCCCAGCUAUCUGCUCAGCUCAUCCGCUGUCUCUUUCGUCCUCGCUCAGAUUCCCCUUCUCUGUGAAGCCUUUCUGACCAUCCUCAUUAAAAUCAAAUAACCCCACCCCUCCACUCUCUUGCCCAUUUUCCUCAUCCAUUUCCCCCUAGGACUAAUCACUCUCUAACAUUCUCUAUAUAUUUUUCUGAUAUAUUUGUUUAUAUGUCUUGCAUAAACAAAAUGAUUUGGUUUAUGGUCUAUCUCUUCUUGCUAGAAUGUGAGCUCUACAAGGGUAGGGAUGCUUAUUUUGUCACCGUUGUGUCCCUGACUCCUAAAAUGCUGACGGUGUGGCCAGCUGCAUGCCCUGCUGUCUCUAUUUUGAAACUCUAACAAAAUUUUGGACAAGACCCUCCUCUUUCAUUUUAUGCUGGACCUGGAAAAUUACAGAGCAGGUUCUGACUUCCAGGCACAUGGUACGCAUUCAAUAAAUAAUCUCUUGAAUG
This 2268-nucleotide long non-coding RNA is filed under the name Homo sapiens (human). Its description in RNAcentral is "non-protein coding LINC00649:38". Lineage: Eukaryota; Metazoa; Chordata; Mammalia; Primates; Hominidae. The record is from RNAcentral.